Molecule: ribosomal RNA, 247 nt
Filed under: uncultured bacterium
Lineage: Bacteria
Description: partial 16S ribosomal RNA
Rfam family: Bacterial small subunit ribosomal RNA
Source: RNAcentral
AGACGGCGACCGGCGCACGGGUGAGUAACACGUAUCCAACCUGCCGAUAACUCCGGAAUAGCCUUUCGAAAGAAAGAUUAAUACCGGAUGGCAUACGAAUAUCGCAUGAUAUUUUUAUUAAAGAAUUUCGGUUAUCGAUGGGGAUGCGUUCCAUUAGUUUGUUGGCGGGGUGACGGCCCACCAAGACUACGAUGGAUAGGGGUUCUGAGAGGAAGGUCCCCCACAUUGGAACUGAGACACGGUCCAA